GAGGGAUUCCUCUUUUGCCCCGCUACGCUUGCUGGGAGUUGUAGUCCUCGUGGGGUAAUCGGAAGAACUGUGGGAGUUCCUCGCAAGGAGCCAAAUCAGCUGGGAGGAAGAAUUGAAUCAGAAAAAUGUGAAGGAUACGUGGAAAUCAUGUAAGAGUGGCUUUGCGAGAUGCUCAAAAAAAAACCGCAAUCAAAGAAGACCAUGCAGGUUCCAUCUUCAUCUGGAUGAGUAAGGUGAGAACAAAGGAUGUGCAAAGCAGACGGAGGCAGUCAUCGUAGUGGGCAGGGAAGAGGAUUUUCCUGGCUGCAUUUUAUAUUAGAUGAGUGAGGCAAGAAGCACGGAGAUUGAAAAGGAGGAGGUUGCAGUAAUCAAGGUGACAGCUCUCCAGCUACUGCCUGUUUCCAGCACUACCUGUCAGCCUUCUUGACUCACCAGCUGGGCUCAGUGUAGAGCCCUGUGGAGCUAGAGACAGAGAGGUGAGUUUCACAGCGGUCUGCAGGAUAGUGGAACAGGCAGUUAUGGGGGAUAUAGGGAGUGAAUGCUCCAUUUGGAAAGAGUGGAGAGGGGAGAAUGGGUCGAGGAGAGAUCUGGGGGAGAUCAAUGCCACCCUAUCCAUAUCCCCCUUUAAUAUUGUCCUUUCUCCUGUAGUACCCUUGGAACAGGGGAAAAUGCUUUCCUUUACCUCUAGCACUUCCAGUUUGAGGAACUGUCUGUGGUUCAUCUUCAUAGGACGUUCCUGUUGGCAAACCCCAGGUGCCUCGAAGUGUUCUGAGAAGUAGAAAUGGUAGCUCUUACCCUUAGAUCGCUGUAGGGCCUAAGCCCUACCUGCCCCCUUAUUGUGUUGGCAGGAGACAGGAAAUGUGUGAGUGCUGGAUGAAAGUAUCGGGGUGGGCAGGAUAACAUCUCAGGAGUGGGGCUAGCAGCCCUGCCGCUCAGACAACUUCCCCUGCUGCCAAAACACCUGUAGUUUGUUCAUGAAAGUGCCCCACAGGGAGGAAAUAUUGACCAUUAACCUUAUGCUGCAUGCAGUCUUAGCUCUGUUUUCUUUCCCCAUGUCAGCAAUCACCAGUGUGCUCGGUGUUUUCAGUUAAGAAGAAAAAGUGGAAGUGCUGGGGUUGCCAGCUAAUGACAGAUGCUGAAUGUUUUGAGCUUUUCCUACAAGCCAGUAAAAAGAAACUUUGUGCACUACUCUGCUACUUUCCUUGAGGCUUUCAGACCAGAUUUUCAAAGAUAAGUGCCUACGUUGCACCUGUAAAACAUGUACACGUGGGGAAAACAGCUAUUGGUGUGUGUCACCGCUACCUAUUUUGUGCCCACAAAUGCCUGUUUGUCCCUGGCUGUGCAUACUGCAUGGAAUAUAUGUAGGUGCCUGUCUCUGAAAAUGUAGCCUUCAGAACAGCUAUAUGUGAGUAUAUUCCUUCUUUACUUCCGCAGCUCACCUGCAGAUUCUUUACUCUCUCACACACAUCCUCGGCUCUGAUAUAUUCUGGUUAUCCAGAGGCUGGAUGCUUGUUGGGCCUGUUGCUGCAAUACAGCACUUGCUGAAAGUUCUUACAUGCAUUGCUGUCUCUCCACAGCAGCUCUUCCUGGUGUUUAGCUAUUCAGUCCACGAAGGAGGUGAAACAAGGAAGAGGCUGCUGCCUGCUUUUUGUAACCUUCAGCCGUCAGACAGGUUUUUCCUGGUUAUCAGUCAACUCUUGGAGUUCUUCUACUCCAGUGACACUGGCCAGAGAUGAAGAACUAGUAGCAACAACAUGUUACAACACAGGGUUGAACCAGAAGCACGUACCAGACUUGAGGCUGGGAUUCUUAGGAUCGGCUGUGGGCAUAAAUGUUCCCAUUCGCUAUUAUGUCUUUAUGUGUUUAGUCUGCAUCACUGAACUUUGUUCCUGACUCCAAACCAGAAAAGUCUUUCCCCUCACUGCUUUCAAGUAUAUCGCAAAACAAACUAUGACCCAGAUUCUCUGCUAUGUCCAGCCACAGCAUGAGGGGAGAGAAGGCUGCAAGGUAGCUUGCUGUGUUUCUGUGAUUCUCAAGCCAGCUCUGCUUUGACUCUUGCACUGCUUAGAGCAAUUGAGGAGUUGCUGUAAAUGCAGCAAUUGGCCACGCCAUGAUGAAACAUUCCACCAGCUGAGGAUACUGGGAAUACAGAGGGCUCCAGCCACACUCCCUCCUUGUCCCCAGCAUGCUGCUUACACCAAAGGCUAAAGGGGGUGGUGUAGCGAUGGGAACCAGCUAUGAUGGUAUACAACCUCACAAUUUGGGAAUCCCCAGCCAGAGAGGUACAGCCAAUUUGCAACCAGAGAAUCUGUCCCUCUCCAAGGUGGAGGCUCUGGGGAAAGAAAUACCUAAAAGAUCUGUUCAGAUUUAGUUUUGAUCUUCCCUCAAUGGGCUUCAGUUAGAUCAUAGUUAAAAUAAAUCUCCAAAAAGGAAAAGAACGGGGAAAAGUGCUGCUGUUUAUGUAACUCUUAAAAAUAAAAUAAAAUAAUGUUUUGCUGAGUUUCUCUUCUAUCCCUGAUAAGUCUCUGUCAGGUCAUCGAAUAUCUCCAAGAAAGCCACGCAGACCCACGUACUCCUUGGGGGAGGAUCUCUCAGUGUAUUGGAUAUCUUUGGAGGGGAAAUGGUGUUUUGAGCAGCUUUCAAUUCCAUGUUCCUCUCACCCCUCUUCUCUUCUGUUUCAAUUGCUUGGAAGUGGUUGGUUUUUUUUUUGGUUUUUUUUUUAAAGCAGCACUUUAAAGGCUGCUGUUGACUUUUAGUGCUUAGAAACGGGCUUUUACAGAAAAGCUCAUGUGGAAAACAAAACAGUUUUCAUGGAUGAAAAUAAAAAUGUAAAGUCAAAUUAAAAUGAGGUGAAAGUGAU
This is a long non-coding RNA of Chelonia mydas (Green sea turtle), 2860 nucleotides long. RefSeq lists it as uncharacterized. Lineage: Eukaryota; Metazoa; Chordata; Testudines; Cheloniidae. The transcript is spliced from 4 exons. The record is from RefSeq and is a predicted model, not a curated record.